ACGGCUGUCGUCUAGUGGUAGGACGGCACCCUCCCAAGGUGCAGGCCCGGGUUCGAAUCCCGGCAGCCGUA
Molecule: transfer RNA, 71 nt
Filed under: Candidatus Woesearchaeota archaeon
Lineage: Archaea; Nanobdellati; Candidatus Woesearchaeota
Description: tRNA-Gly
Rfam family: tRNA
About the family: Transfer RNA (tRNA) molecules are approximately 80 nucleotides in length. Their secondary structure includes four short double-helical elements and three loops (D, anti-codon, and T loops). Further hydrogen bonds mediate the characteristic L-shaped molecular structure. tRNAs have two regions of fundamental functional importance: the anti-codon, which is responsible for specific mRNA codon recognition, and the 3' end, to which the tRNAs corresponding amino acid is attached (by aminoacyl-tRNA synthetases). tRNAs cope with the degeneracy of the genetic code in two manners: having more than one tRNA (with a specific anti-codon) for a particular amino acid; and 'wobble' base-pairing, i.e. permitting non-standard base-pairing at the 3rd anti-codon position.
Source: RNAcentral